CUCGGGUGGCAUUGGAAAGGACAGAUCAUGAUGGACUCAUUGGACUGACAGGGAAGAGAGAAAUUUGAUGAUGAAUAUGAUGAAGUUACUAAUGACAGCAAAAUAACAGAUGAAGAGUUUAACGAGAGCUUUGCUGAUAAUCAUCAAAUUAUAAAAUGUACAUCAAAAAGUGUUGAUAGAAAAUAUGUGUUUCAUUUACCCGACACAUCCCAGGGACUCAAAGUAUCCUGAGGUACGUUAUUCCACUCAUCAUCCUGCCCCUCCCCCACCUCCUCUGGUCUCUUGUACAGCUGUGUGUUUGGUACCAAUACAACAAGGUUAGGACACACAGUCAGUGU
Molecule: long non-coding RNA, 338 nt
Organism: Amphimedon queenslandica
Lineage: Eukaryota; Metazoa; Porifera; Demospongiae; Haplosclerida; Niphatidae
Exons: 3
Source: RefSeq, a predicted model, not a curated record